GAGGGUAUAGCUCAGUGGUAGAGUGUGUGCUUAGCAUGCACGAGGUCCUGGGUUCAAAUUCCAGAGCCUCCA
Molecule: transfer RNA, 72 nt
Filed under: Camelus bactrianus (Bactrian camel)
Lineage: Eukaryota; Metazoa; Chordata; Mammalia; Artiodactyla; Camelidae
Also listed under: 1 other name
Rfam family: tRNA
About the family: Transfer RNA (tRNA) molecules are approximately 80 nucleotides in length. Their secondary structure includes four short double-helical elements and three loops (D, anti-codon, and T loops).
Source: Rfam by way of RNAcentral